Molecule: ribosomal RNA, 840 nt
Filed under: Emberiza siemsseni (slaty bunting)
Lineage: Eukaryota; Metazoa; Chordata; Aves; Passeriformes; Fringillidae
Description: Schoeniclus siemsseni (slaty bunting) partial 16S ribosomal RNA
Rfam family: Bacterial large subunit ribosomal RNA (bases 252-697)
Source: RNAcentral
UUCAGCUUACACCUGAAAAAUGUCUGCUAACACAGAUCGUCUUGAUGCCAAACUCUAGCCCAACCGACAUGACCUGGAAUAACAAAGCUACUUUUCCCCACCCAACUAAAGCAUUUACUAGUCCCAGUAUAGGCGAUAGAAAAGACACCAUUGGCGCGAUAGAGACCACGUACCGUAAGGGAAAGAUGAAAUAGUAAUGAAAACUAAGCUAUAAACAGCAAAGAUCAACCCUUGUACCUUUUGCAUCAUGGUCUAGCAAGAAAAACCAAGCAAAAUGAAUUUAAGUUUGCCACCCCGAAACCCAAGCGAGCUACUUACGAGCAGCUAUCAUGAGCGAACCCGUCUCUGUGGCAAAAGAGUGGGACGACUUGUUAGUAGAGGUGAAAAGCCAACCGAGCUGGGUGAUAGCUGGUUGCCUGUGAAACGAAUCUAAGUUCACUCUUAAUUCUUCUCCAAGGAAACCCCACAAACCCUAAUGAAGCGAAUUAAGGGCUAUUUAAAGGAGGUACAGCUCCUUUAAAAAAGAAUACAACCUCCACGAGCGGAUAAGUAAUAGUCUUUCCUAACUGAACUGUGGGCCCUCAAGCAGCCAUCAACAAAGAGUGCGUUAAAGCUCUACACCACAAAAAUAUAAAAACCCCACGACUCCCUCCCCAUUAACAGGCUAACCUAUCUAAAUAGGAGAAUUAAUGCUAGAAUGAGUAACCAGGGUCCUCCCUCUACGACGCAAGCUUACAUCCGUACAUUAUUAACAAACCACCAAUAUACGACAAAUCAAACAAGCGCAGUAUUAAGUAUCUUGUUAACCCGACAGAGGAGCGUCCAUUAAGAAAGAUUAAA